Molecule: transfer RNA, 72 nt
Filed under: Anolis humilis (humble anole)
Lineage: Eukaryota; Metazoa; Chordata; Lepidosauria; Squamata; Anolidae
Description: tRNA-Asx
Source: RNAcentral
UGGAGCAAGUGGGCCUUGAUCCCACAAAAAUUAGUUAACAGCUAACUACCCUAACCAGCGGGCUUCUACUCG